This 335-nucleotide long non-coding RNA is filed under the name Lathyrus oleraceus (garden pea). Its description in RNAcentral is "Pisum sativum (pea) long non-coding RNA (PSAT_LNC032262)". The record is from RNAcentral. Lineage: Eukaryota; Viridiplantae; Streptophyta; Magnoliopsida; Fabales; Fabaceae.
ACAAUGGGAGUUGCAUUCCCUGAAUUUAGUUUAACAGAUAUUCUAGAGGGUUCCUCAACAUGCUUCCGAACAUUAGAUGAAGAAAGACAAAGAUCAGGUGAAUUCACGUAUUUAUACUGCUGCCCAUGCAGCAGACCUGGAGAAGUAAUGAAAUCAUUGUUCUGACUCUCUUUGCAUGCUUGCGUUACAGAUAUAACACUUAUUGGUGCUGACAAAUUCUGUGCAGGUAUUACAGAAGGAUUUUUGGGUUGGUGAAAAGCAACAUCCUCAACAGGUUGAACAUUGAUAUCUAUAAUCUGAUGCCCUUCAGAGCUACCCCCACCAAGGGGAAUAUU